Molecule: long non-coding RNA, 1185 nt
Filed under: Oncorhynchus kisutch (coho salmon)
Lineage: Eukaryota; Metazoa; Chordata; Actinopteri; Salmoniformes; Salmonidae
Description: lncRNA (ENSOKIG00005048302.1)
Source: RNAcentral
GAGUUUAUCCACCAAUGCUAUGAAAUCUAACAGAUGACAUAUCGCAACCUCGGAUCGAGAACCAGAUUUUGCGGCUGACAUUUGACAGACGGGAGACUGGAAGGGGAGCGGAAGGGAGCGACACAGUGCCUCCGCGAAAGAGCGCUGGAUCACGGCUGGGAGUCCACAGACCGUCGGUGGGGCACGGCCCGUGCCGAUCUGUCGUCCAUGAUCAGACGUCGGGAAAUAAACAUGUAGCUAGCUACUGCUACUUGGUUAUAGUACAUACAAUUCAUCCUAAAUAAGAACACGGGAAAGCGGGUUUAACGUGUCGAUUACGGUACGGUGUUCCACGUUAUUUUGACGGUGUCCAGCCUCCCUUCAUCACCUCCACCACCACCUCAGGCCUGCAGUCUCCCUCUCUCCCCCCUCUCACCCCAUUCUGUCCCCCGUGGAAGAGGACAACACCCUACCCCAGACCACCCUAGUUCCAACUAGACUACAAUCCAACAUCCUUCCACUCCACCCCUCCCCAAACAGACGAGGGGGAGAGAGGAGCUUCGCCCCCCCCCCUCAUCCCCUCCCUCCCUCUCUCUCCCCCCUCCCAACAUGCAGCCUCAGGGCCUGUAUGUAAGAGCCAUGGUACAGCCCAUCCCUAGAUUGAAAUCUUGAACCACUCCAGUUGUACUCCACUGAGUAAUGAAGUGAAGCUAAAUGUUCUGAUGUGAAACUGGGCUGGACCAGCGCUGAACGGACAGGAGAGAACAGGAUGUGACCUCAGCAUCAGCCCACCUCACUUCCUGUUCAUCUCAACUAAUAGGAAGACUGGAUCACAGGCCUCAAAUUCCACAAUCACCCAAAUCAAACUUUAUUUAUAAAAGCCUUUUUACAGCAACAUUUCUCACAAAGUGCUUUACAGUAGUCACCUUAGUAAACCUCUUUCUGACUUCCAGAGAGCAGGCAGCAGCACAGUGGCAAGGGAAACCCUCCUUACAAGUGGAGAUGUGUUAGCUAACCUCUGACCUCUGACCUGUGUCUGGGCUUGGCUGCUUGUUGGAUCCAGGCUGUAGAAUCUAGUGGUUUCUACUGACCGUAGCUAGGGCGUCAGCUUCUAGAGUGUUCUAUUAGGUUCUAGUACGUUCUAAUAAGGUUCUAGUAUGUUCUGUUAUGUUCUAUUAGAUUAUAAUAUGUUCUCUUAGGUUCUAG